Long non-coding RNA from Ipomoea nil (Japanese morning glory), 508 nucleotides. RefSeq lists it as uncharacterized. NCBI's taxonomy places the organism in Eukaryota, Viridiplantae, Streptophyta, Magnoliopsida, Solanales, Convolvulaceae. The transcript is spliced from 2 exons. The record is from RefSeq and is a predicted model, not a curated record.
UGUCAAAUGCCCUUGAGAGUAGUGCAUAGAUCUGGAAAACCAUGGCAUUCUGUGGUACCAAAGAAAGCAAACUUGUCACAUUACCAGGGGGAUUGAAUUGGUGAAAGAGAAUGUGAAGGGGGAAAAGUAAAGAAGUUUACCUGAAAGGUGACAGAGGCAAGGGGAGCAGCCAUGCCCCUGUAGAGUGCCCGGGGACCUUCAGAGCCAACAACCCCACGUAGGAUGCUGUAAGCCGAACCUCCUGCUCCUGAUUGCUGCUGCCGGAUUCUGAUUGUGUCGAGGGGAUAACCAGCUAUGAUACCGGCUGUUCCCCCAAAUCCUCCGGCCACAAACUCUUUCCCCCAACUGCUUGCAAGAAACUCCGGCCAGAAAUCCAUCACUCCUUCCUCCUUACCAUUCCCCAACCAAAACAAGCAAAGCUCAACAGAACUAGGUAAGCACUAAGAUCUCACUUGUUAGGCUUUAUGGGUAUCUGCUGCCACUCUCCGUAUCCAAUCUUCCAAUGUAU